UAUAAAGGCCCUCAUUCAGUUUGGCAGAAGAAAAGGAUAGCGCCGCCUCUCGUUUGCCUUUCUCUGCCAUUUCAAGUCCCGAGCCUCUGCCCAUUCGACUCCGAUUCGCAGAGGAGGAGAAGGUGUCAUCGGCGCAUCCACGAAGGUACGGCGUCUUUGUUGCAGGUGUCGCUGGCGUGAGGCCGUACGUUGACGUGGCUCAGCUCGACGCGAGGGAAAAGGCUCGGAGGCGCACGUGGGGAAGCCACACAUGGGGGCUUGCGGCGGCUGAAAUCUUAGAAACCCUAGGGUUUCUGCUUGUUUCAAUUCUGGGCUAGGGGUAUCGGGCCACUGUAAUUGGGCCGCUUGGGUUUAAGAUAGUUGGGCUAGCUGAAUGUAAUUGGGUUUGAGCCAUGUUUGGCCUAGAAUUUUUGAAAUUUGGACUGGACUUUUUUAAUUUUAAUUUGGUUUUAUUUUA
This is a long non-coding RNA of Gossypium raimondii (Peruvian cotton), 457 nucleotides long. RefSeq lists it as uncharacterized. The transcript has 2 exons. Lineage: Eukaryota; Viridiplantae; Streptophyta; Magnoliopsida; Malvales; Malvaceae. The record is from RefSeq and is a predicted model, not a curated record.